UACGUAGGGACCAAGCGUUGUUCGGAUUUACUGGGCGUAAAGGGCGCGUAGGCGGCGUGACAAGUCACUUGUGAAAUCUCCGGGCUUAACCCGGAACUGCCAAGUGAUACUGUCGUGCUAGAGUGCGGAAGGGGCAAUCGGAAUUCUCGGUGUAGCGGUGAAAUGCGUAGAUAUCAGGAGGAACACCGGUGGCGAAGGCGGGAUCCUGGGCCAGUACUGACGCUGAGGAGCGAAAGCGUGGGGAGCAAACAGG
RNAcentral lists this ribosomal RNA (253 nucleotides) under uncultured bacterium. RNAcentral describes it as "partial 16S ribosomal RNA". It matches the Rfam family "Bacterial small subunit ribosomal RNA", at positions 524 to 776 of the family's 1533-position model. The record is from RNAcentral.